CUUCUCCACCCCUCUCCCUCGGCAAGAAAAGCCGCCGCCGCCACAUCCGCAGCAGCCGCAUCCACAGCAGCCGAGCGAGAUGGUGUUUGUGAAGAACCAGAAGACCAGGGCCUACUCCAAGCGGUUCCAAGUGAAGUUCAAGAGAAGGAGACAGGGAAGACCGAUUACAGGGCCAGGCUCAGGCUCACUAACCAUAA
This is a long non-coding RNA of Triticum dicoccoides, 197 nucleotides long. RefSeq lists it as uncharacterized. The record is from RefSeq and is a predicted model, not a curated record. Lineage: Eukaryota; Viridiplantae; Streptophyta; Magnoliopsida; Poales; Poaceae. The transcript has 3 exons.